CCGGAACGGCUUCGACGGUGAGGGACGAAAGCUGGGGGAGCAAACCGGAUUAGAUACCCGGGUAGUCCCGGCCCUAAACGAUGCGCGUUAGGUGUGUCGGUGACCACGAGUCACCGAGGUGCCGAAGGGAAACCGUGAA
This 139-nucleotide ribosomal RNA is filed under the name uncultured methanogenic archaeon. RNAcentral's name for it is "partial 16S ribosomal RNA". It matches the Rfam family "Archaeal small subunit ribosomal RNA", at positions 680 to 818 of the family's 1478-position model. The record is from RNAcentral. Lineage: Archaea; Methanobacteriati; Methanobacteriota.